Molecule: transfer RNA, 76 nt
Filed under: Polycladomyces subterraneus
Lineage: Bacteria; Bacillati; Bacillota; Bacilli; Caryophanales; Thermoactinomycetaceae
Also listed under: 2 other names
Description: tRNA-Thr
Rfam family: tRNA
About the family: Transfer RNA (tRNA) molecules are approximately 80 nucleotides in length. Their secondary structure includes four short double-helical elements and three loops (D, anti-codon, and T loops).
Source: RNAcentral
GCUGAUGUAGCUCAGUUGGUAGAGCACUUCACUCGUAAUGAAGGGGUCGGGGGUUCGAGUCCCUCCAUCAGCACCA